Long non-coding RNA from Pogoniulus pusillus (Red-fronted tinkerbird), 847 nucleotides. RefSeq lists it as uncharacterized. Lineage: Eukaryota; Metazoa; Chordata; Aves; Piciformes; Lybiidae. The record is from RefSeq and is a predicted model, not a curated record. The transcript is spliced from 4 exons.
UGGUUGCUAAGAAGGUGUCCUGUAGCAUAUUGGGAAUGGGACCUCAGCUACCUCCCUGAGCAACCUGUUCCAGCGUUCCACUACCCUCGUGGUAAAGAACUUGUUCCUAACACCCAAAAGGAAGAUCUACUCAGAGUUUUCAGGAGGGCUGUUUUUCUCCUGCUCAUCCAGAGGCUCUUGGGCUGUGAAACUUCUGUGUUGUCUGCAAGGUUAAUGGGAGCAAAGAGCCAUAGAAAACCAUCCAACAUGACUUGCUUGUUGGAGUUUGCACUGCUGAACAGAGAAAUGAGGACCUGUCUGGAGUUUGUGCCACCAUGCAGAUCAUCUCCAAGGACAGCUGCAUGCAGCCUACCUGGAGAGCACAGCAGCUGCUUUUGAGGCACAGCCAACCAAAGCUCUUCCCACAGAUCUCUCUUCAGCUCCCAAGAAAAAGAGCAUCACCAGCUACAGCAUUCUGCAGGCUUCCAUGACCAUAUGUGUGGUCCAAGCUCAGCUGGGUUUCACUGUGUUCUGGGACUGCUGGGAACACAACUUCCUUCCCUUAUGGACUUGUGGGGCUUCCCUUUCUCCUCCCACAUGGCUGCUUUCUGGAAGGCACACCUCGAGUCAGUGUUUGCACAUACUUAAUGGCACCCCAUCAGCUUUUGCAGUGGCUGGUCCUGGGGAUGCAUGGCUCUCUUACAUUCCCACACUAAGUGGAAUCUGGCUGUGUUUUAAAAGCAAAGCCAUGGUCUGUACAAGUAAUGAUGUGCUUUAUAGUUCUUCCUCAAAUCAAUCUUCCUGGCUUAGGAGAGAUACUUGCCCUGCUAGCUUUGUUGUGUAGAUACUGGCCUGAUGCUACUGCUCA